Molecule: small nuclear RNA, 147 nt
Filed under: Cebus imitator (Panamanian white-faced capuchin)
Lineage: Eukaryota; Metazoa; Chordata; Mammalia; Primates; Cebidae
Description: U1 spliceosomal RNA (ENSCCAG00000005098.1)
Rfam family: U1 spliceosomal RNA
About the family: U1 is a small nuclear RNA (snRNA) component of the spliceosome (involved in pre-mRNA splicing). Its 5' end forms complementary base pairs with the 5' splice junction, thus defining the 5' donor site of an intron. There are significant differences in sequence and secondary structure between metazoan and yeast U1 snRNAs, the latter being much longer (568 nucleotides as compared to 164 nucleotides in human).
Source: RNAcentral
AUGCUUACCUGGCAGGGGAGAUAGCAUGAUCACGAAGUUGGUUUCCCCAGGGCCAGGCUUAUUCAUUGCACCCUGGAUGUGCUGAACCCUGCAAUUUCCCCAAAUGUGUGAAACUCAACUGCAUAAUUUGUGGUAGUGGGGCACUGC